GUGUGCAGCCAUGCCACCCUGAACAAGUCCGAUCCCGUCUGAUCUCAGAAGCUAAGCAGGGUCGGGCCUGGUGAGUACUUGGAUGGGAGACCACCUAGGAAAACCAGGUGCUGUAGGCG
This 119-nucleotide ribosomal RNA is filed under the name Pteropus alecto (black flying fox). The record is from RNAcentral. Lineage: Eukaryota; Metazoa; Chordata; Mammalia; Chiroptera; Pteropodidae.